RNAcentral lists this ribosomal RNA (460 nucleotides) under uncultured bacterium. Its description in RNAcentral is "partial 16S ribosomal RNA". It matches the Rfam family "Bacterial small subunit ribosomal RNA", at positions 338 to 795 of the family's 1533-position model. The record is from RNAcentral.
CCUACGGGCGGCAGCAGUGAGGAAUAUUGGUCAAUGGACGAGAGGCUGAACCAGCCAAGUAGCGUGAAGGAUGACUGCCCUAUGGGUUGUAAACCUCUUUUAUCUGGGAGUAAAGUGUUCCACGUGUGGGGUUUUGUGUGUACCAGAUGAAUAAGGAUCGGCUAACUCCGUGCCAGCAGCCGCGGUAAUACGGAGGAUGCGAGCGUUAUCCGGAUUUAUUGGGGUUAAAGGGAGCGUAGGUGGUAUGUUAAGUCAGUGGUGAAAGUUCGCGGCUCAACCGCCUACUUGCCGUUGAAACGGGCAGUCUUGAGUACAGGAGAGGUAGGCGGAAUGCGUGGUGUAGCGGUGAAAUGCUUAGAUAUCACGAAGAACUCCGAUUGCGAAGGCAGCUCACUGGACUGCAACUGACACUGAGGCUCGAAAGCGUGGGUAUCGAACAGGAUUAGAUACCCUUGUAGUC